Molecule: unclassified non-coding RNA, 1366 nt
Filed under: Hevea brasiliensis (rubber tree)
Lineage: Eukaryota; Viridiplantae; Streptophyta; Magnoliopsida; Malpighiales; Euphorbiaceae
Source: RNAcentral
CGGUUCCAGAUCGAAAAACGCAUCAAAGAACCUCCUCGUCCCGUUCAAAUCGAGACUCAACAAUGUCUCCAUCCCAAAACAGUAAUACUCCCUCUCCCACCUCCUCCCCGCCGGCCACAAACUCCCCCACACUUUACAAUUCAUCGAUUUCCCCGUUAUCAUCCUCGUCGAUCCCAAACACUCCACCAUAGCAUCUGCCAACUCCGGCGCGAGCGCCAGCGCCCGAGCCACCUGGUACCCGGACGACGGAUGCACCAUCCCGCCAGCCCCGCCAAACCCCAUCACCCUCUGCGGCAUCUGCGGCAGCGGACCUCCCAUUGGAAACAAACACUUCUCGUCCUCCAGCACCCGCUCCACCUUAAUCCCCAAAUGUCGCAGCCUCGCCACCAUUCUCUUCUUCACCUCACUGUAGUCCAGCACCGGCCGGCCCACCAGCGAGGUCUCCUCGAGGAAAACUAGAUUUUCGUUGAAUGGCAUUGCAUAUAGAAAAGUUGGAAUAGCAGCGUUGUGAGCACGGAGAUGCGGCUCGUUGUCGAGGUGGGCGUCGCUCCAGUCCAUGAGCAGCAUCUGGUUGAGGUCGAACGGGUGGCGGUUGACCUCGGCGAGGAUGCCGUGGGCGAUCUGGUACCCGCGGCGGUUUCUCGGUCUGUCGUACUCGAUGAAGGGGGUGCUGAAGCCGCCAGCGUCGAUGACGAGGCUGGCGGUGACGGCGCUGCCGUCGGAGCAGGAGACGGAGGAGCGGAGCUCCUCGUGCUCGAUGUUCCAGGCUUUGGAGGGGUGGAAUCUGACUCCGGUGGUGGUACAGUUUUCUAGUAAUAGAGUUUUGAGAGAACUGCGGUUGACGCGGCCGUAGGGGCGUGAGAGGUGCUUGAUGUUGUCGCCGUCGAUGGCGAUCGUGGCGGUGGGCCAGAUGUGGUCGAAGAUGGAGGCGAGGCCGAGGGGGUGGAGCUCGUCGAGCCAGGCGCCGUAGUUGUUGGGCCAGGGGGAGAGGGGGGCGGGGUCGAUGCAGCAGACGCGGAGCCCACGGGCCGCGGCGCAUUCGGCGAGGCGGAGGCCGGCGGGGCCGCAGCCGAUGAUGGCGGCAUCGUAGCGGUGGGCGGAGGAGGGGUCAUGGUAUGGGAUGUCGAUGGUGAGAGGCUCGGGCUUGGAGACUGGGGUGAGAUCUAGAAAGCUACGGAGAGAACUGCGCUUUGUUCGCCUUGAAGGGUGGCGGAGUUCGCCGGCGGUGAGUAACGCCGGCAACUGAAGAGUUGACAUCGGAGGUUGGACUGGAGUGGUAGAGGAUGCGGGGAUUAUGAGGAUGGGAACCGGAGGUGCGGUCCAGCCGCCUCCUUGAUCCUCUCUUGACCGCACCUCCGGUUCCCAU